Molecule: ribosomal RNA, 466 nt
Filed under: uncultured bacterium
Lineage: Bacteria
Description: partial 16S ribosomal RNA
Rfam family: Bacterial small subunit ribosomal RNA
Source: RNAcentral
ACGCACGCUGGCGGCGUGCUUAACACAUGCCAGUCGCACGGAAAGGCCCUGCUUUUGUGGGGUGCUCGAGUGGCGAACGGGUGAGUAACACGUGAGUAACCUGCCCUUGACUUUGGGAUAACUUCAGGAAACUGGGGCUAAUACCGGAUAGGAGCUCCUGCUGCAUGGUGGGGGUUGGAAAGUUUCGGCGGUUGGGGAUGGACUCGCGGCUUAUCAGCUUGUUGGUGGGGUAGUGGCUUACCAAGGCUUUGACGGGUAGCCGGCCUGAGAGGGUGACCGGCACCAUGGGACUGAGAUACGGCCCAGACUCCUACGGGAGGCAGCAGUGGGGAAUAUUGCACAAUGGGCGGAAGCCUGAUGCAGCAACGCCGCGUGCGGGAUGACGGCCUUCGGGUUGUAAACCGCUUUCGCCUGUGACGAAGCGUGAGUGACGGUAAUGGGUAAAGAAGCACCGGCUAACUACGUG